UAUUAAUAAUUGGACCUCUGAGCAGGUGU
Molecule: non-coding RNA, 29 nt
Filed under: Rattus norvegicus (Norway rat)
Lineage: Eukaryota; Metazoa; Chordata; Mammalia; Rodentia; Muridae
Source: RNAcentral